UUGGGAGAAGGUUUUUACAUGCGAUGAUUCCCAGCUCCACCGUGCCGAUAGGUGGUUUCCAGAGCUGUCUCGCCGUCGGCCGGAAGUCGCUGCAGACAUGCGCGGCCUCGUCCAUCACGUGAUAUCCACCGUCGAAGCAUAAACGUAGGUGGACUCUACCCUUGUAACUGCUCCUUUCCUCCUCCUUGUUAGGGUUUUGAAAGCUGAACCAGUGCGACACAGGUGUUCGAUCGUCCACACGCCGCUCGAUCGCCGUCAACGGCACUCUCGCGACGCCCAGGGUGGCUACCUUUCCUUUCGUUUGCUGGCUUUCGAGGGUGAAGAUGAGGUGCUCGUGAGUGAAGGGUUCGGCGGCGA
RNAcentral lists this long non-coding RNA (357 nucleotides) under Vitis vinifera (wine grape). Its description in RNAcentral is "long non-coding RNA (VVIN_LNC002390)". Lineage: Eukaryota; Viridiplantae; Streptophyta; Magnoliopsida; Vitales; Vitaceae. The record is from RNAcentral.